CCUACGGGAGGCAGCAGUGAGGAAUAUUGGACAAUGGAGGAAACUCUGAUCCAGCCAUGCCGCGUGAGUGAAGAAGGCCUUCGGGUUGUAAAGCUCUUUUACCCCUGACGAUAAUGACGGUACCAGCAGAAGAAGCCCCGGCUAACUCCGUGCCAGCAGCCGCGGUAAUACGGAGGGGGCUAGCGUUGUUCGGAAUUACUGGGCGUAAAGCGCACGUAGGCGGACUGGAAAGUCAGGGGUGAAAUCCCUGGGCUCAACCUAGGAACUGCAUUUGUGACUGCAUGGCUUGAGUGCGGCAGAGGGGGAUGGAAUUCCGCGUGUAGCAGUGAAAUGCGUAGAUAUGCGGAGGAACACCGAUGGCGAAGGCAGUCCCCUGGGCCUGUACUGACGCUCAUGCACGAAAGCGUGGGGAGCAAACAGGAUUAGAUACCCUGGUAGUCCACGCCCUAAACGAUGUCAACUGGUUGUUGGGUGGGUUUCUACUCAGUAACGAAGCUAACGCGUGAAGUUGACCGCCUGGGGAGUACGGCCGCAAGGUUGAAACUCAAAUGAAUUGACGG
Molecule: ribosomal RNA, 560 nt
Filed under: uncultured bacterium
Lineage: Bacteria
Description: bacterial SSU rRNA
Rfam family: Bacterial small subunit ribosomal RNA
Source: RNAcentral